Long non-coding RNA from Onychostoma macrolepis, 399 nucleotides. RefSeq lists it as uncharacterized. Lineage: Eukaryota; Metazoa; Chordata; Actinopteri; Cypriniformes; Cyprinidae. The transcript is spliced from 3 exons. The record is from RefSeq and is a predicted model, not a curated record.
GGUUUACAGUGUUAUGUUCGUGAGGUGUAACGUUACAGAUGCAACUUUAGCCUACAGAAGAGUGAAAGUUUCUCAGGCCGUUUUCAUUUCCUGAAAUAAGAUCCUCUCUCCUUCAUUCCCGCCGAGGCCUGGUUUUACUACGAGUCUGAAGCAGCCACAUUUGGGCGGUUUUUUACUCAGAGGAGAGAAUUCAUCAAAUGCUAUACCUGCUCGCUGAUGGGACAACGAGGAACAGCGUUCAUGGAUGCUACACAACUGUCGACAAGUAUCUUGCUGCAAUCUUGUUCAAAUCUACCUGUCAUAUUUGUUCAUGUUUUAUUAACUAUUUUAUAUUUCCGUGCAACACUUAAUGAAUGUGACUGAAUAAUUAACCUCUACGCAUCUGGUAUAUGCUUUAAA